Non-coding RNA from Araneus ventricosus, 74 nucleotides. Lineage: Eukaryota; Metazoa; Arthropoda; Arachnida; Araneae; Araneidae. The record is from the annotation of a GenBank genome assembly.
GCCUCCGAGGCGCAAUCCGCUAGUGCGUUUGGGUGUUAACCGAAAGGUUGGUGGUUCGAGCCCACCCUGGGGCG